UACGAAGGGUGCUAGCGUUGUUCGGAAUUACUGGGCGUAAAGCGUACGUAGGCGGUUUAGUAAGUCGAUUGUGAAAGCCCCAGGCUUAACCUGGGAAUUGCAACCGAAACUGCUUUACUUGAGUUUGGUGGGGGAUGGCGGAAUUCUUAGUGUAGGGGUGAAAUCCGUAGAUAUUAAGAGGAAUACCGGUGGCGAAGGCGGCCAUCUACGCCAAUACUGACGCUAAGGUACGAAAGCGUGGGGAGCAAAC
This 250-nucleotide ribosomal RNA is filed under the name uncultured bacterium. Its description in RNAcentral is "partial 16S ribosomal RNA". It matches the Rfam family "Bacterial small subunit ribosomal RNA", at positions 524 to 773 of the family's 1533-position model. The record is from RNAcentral.